GAUGAAGAACGCAGCAAAAUGCGAUAAGUAGUGUGAAUUGCAGAAUUCCGUGAAUCAUCGAGUCUUUGAACGCACAUUGCGCCCCCUGGUAUUCCGGGGGGCAUGCCUGUCCGAGCGUCAUUGCUGCCCAUCAAGCACGGCUUGUGUGUUGGGUCCUCGUCCCCCCCGGGGGACGUGCCCGAAAGGCAGCGGCGGCACCGCGUCCGGUCCUCGAGCGUAUGGGGCUUUGUCACCCGCUCUGCAGGCCCGGCCGGCGCUGGCCGACGCGAAAGCAACCAUUUUUUCUCCAGGUUGACCUCGGAUCAGGUAGGGAUACCCGCUGAACUUAAGCAUAUCAAUAAGCGGAGGA
This 349-nucleotide unclassified non-coding RNA is filed under the name soil metagenome. RNAcentral describes it as "partial contains 5.8S ribosomal RNA, internal transcribed spacer 2, and large subunit ribosomal RNA". The stretch from base 1 to 120 matches the Rfam family "5.8S ribosomal RNA", at positions 35 to 154 of the family's 154-position model. The record is from RNAcentral.